RNAcentral lists this unclassified non-coding RNA (912 nucleotides) under Hevea brasiliensis (rubber tree). The record is from RNAcentral. Lineage: Eukaryota; Viridiplantae; Streptophyta; Magnoliopsida; Malpighiales; Euphorbiaceae.
AAUUACAAUGUCUUGCAAUCCCCCUUCAACAAAUCAACACAAUGUCAAGAACAUGCAAGAGAUGAAGCAUCAUGAACAUUGUCCAUACCAGGAUGGAUGAGAUGAAUUGCCAGAUUACACUCAUUAAAGUCUAGGUAAUACAACCUUGGAUGUGAAAGGAAGGGAUUCAACCUAAUGAGAUUUCUUUGGGUGGGGUGGGGCAGGCUGGGAGUAUGAGUCAGGUUAUACACGAAGAAGUGAAUUGCUUUUAUGCAGCUUCCCACCCAAAGAUUCUUUUCUCCCUUUCCAGGAACACUGUGAGUUAAAGGUGACCGAUUUCCCACAAGCACAAUAUAGUGAACUCAUUCAUUCUAAGAAAAUGAGAACACCUUACCGGCCCAUAGCUACAUGCUUUUACUCAAAAUGGUAAAGAAACCAAUAAUAAGCUACUCCCUUGAGGCAGCAGAAUAAUCUAUGAAGGAAAACGCAGCUAGUGAAACUGUAUAUUGGAUGGCAGCUAUCAACUGUUUAUAGGCAUAACAAAGAAGUCAUCUACUGAGCUAUAGGCCACUUCAUGUGAAUCUGAGAUCUUAACCAGACCAUACUUUGGCAAGUUAGUAGGUUUGCUUCUUCAUCUGAUAUUAUGGAACAAUAUGGAGAACCAAUUAAAGAUGAUGUUAAUAAUUAUUUUUUCAAUUCUUAAUAUGAAAACUCCAAUCUGCAAAUGGAUUUACAGUGCCUCCCUUUCCAGAUUCAGUUUAGGAAUGGUUAAUUUUAUUAUUUAGAAAAGGUUUAAUUGAAUUUUCUAAUAAGUUUAUACAAAAUGCAGUAGUACAUACUACAUAACAAUUUGAUAAUGAGGACAGAUAAAAUGAUCAUAUGAAAGAAUAUGAUCAGGCACAAUUCUCACCAAUAACCAGAAGCAAGAAGCUU